Molecule: ribosomal RNA, 253 nt
Filed under: Drancourtella massiliensis
Lineage: Bacteria; Bacillati; Bacillota; Clostridia; Eubacteriales; Oscillospiraceae
Description: partial 16S ribosomal RNA
Rfam family: Bacterial small subunit ribosomal RNA
Source: RNAcentral
UACGUAUGGUGCAAGCGUUAUCCGGAUUUACUGGGUGUAAAGGGAGCGUAGACGGAUAGGCAAGUCUGGAGUGAAAACCCAGGGCUCAACCCUGGGACUGCUUUGGAAACUGCAGAUCUGGAGUGCCGGAGAGGUAAGCGGAAUUCCUAGUGUAGCGGUGAAAUGCGUAGAUAUUAGGAGGAACACCAGUGGCGAAGGCGGCUUACUGGACAGUGACUGACGUUGAGGCUCGAAAGCGUGGGGAGCAAACAGG